AAGUCAGAAGAUGCUAGCGGAAGAAACAGGACCCAGAACUCCAUUGGAAAAUGGGGUAUACAGACUUCGAGGAUGCCAGACAAAAAGAUCAUUUGAAAUAUUGUUGUCACUAAGCCUUCUUUGAUCAAGACACCAUGAGCUCAUGGCAGGAUUGAGCUUUCAGCUGCUCUGUAGAUUCUCAUCAGAGGUGCAGACUCUUCUUUGUGGAUCAUACCUACAUUUUAUUUUUCCUGAAAAUAUAGUAUGUAUUCAGGGCACACAGGCAUCUUCUAUUCACUUCAUCAUCAACACUUGUCAAACAAAAACUGCUAUUCAUGCUACAGACUCAUGCAGCUCCCUGCAUUUUGAAAGAAUUGCCUCCCUCUUCUGAGCCUGGCUCAAGGUCCUCUGAAAGAAUCUGGAGGAAAUGAUGAUGCUCAGGAGACAAUUCAUGAUCACUCGGAAUUUCUGACAACCAUGUGACCUUGGAAGCCAAGUGCUAAAGAUAAUGGAGCUAUGACAAUAAAGAGCUUGAGUCUUGAAUCAUUACAUGGCAGACCAUCCACUCAGCACUCUCAUCGAACAGUUAUGUAAACGUUUCUGGAGAAAAUAACAGAAGACAUGGCAGGAGAAAUGAUUGAGAGCUUUUCCAGUUUGGCAUGGAAACAAAGCAAAGCAAUUUCAGUGUGGUAACAAGACUAAGGAGGAGACAGAUGCUGUGCGGGCAACAGUACCAGAGCUAAGGGAUGAGAAACUUCUCCAUAAGAUGUCCCUUUAUUGCUCCAGCAGCUAUUAUGGGCUGCGUCUCCCCAAGCAUGGCAGCUCACCACUGUGGAACCCUAAAUAGAAUGACACUCAGUGUUGAAUGGCAAGGCCUCUGGUCAUAAAUAAGAUAAGCCGAAAGACAUUUGAUGGUUAUCACAGAAAUGGACUUUCCUUACUUGGAAUUUUCCUGCCUAAACAUCCACAGGGAAAAGCUACAUGUUGGGACUUCAUAAUUCAUUUCAAGCAUUUUGUUUGCAAAUCUCAAAGCUUGAUUUUUUUUCUAAGUUUGCAGGUACUUCAAUAUUUGUAUUUCCAUUUCAGAUUUUUAAAAUUCAUUGCUUUAAAGAACUACAUCUGAAGAACAAUGUUUAGCUCUUUAUUUAUUAUUGUAUUUUAUUUAUCUAAAGACCAAUAUGUUGCUUCCUACUGAUAACAUCAGAUGAAUAUUAUCGUGAAGUUAAAUUAGCUUCUUCAACAGUGAGCUCUGUGGAAUAGAUGCACCUUUCCUUCUAGUGUGACCAUUUGAGAUGGAACAGACCAGAGGAUUUUCCAUCCCAUUGCUAGAAUAUGUUUCUGUGACAAAGUUCUAGCAAGUUUUAGUCCGUAAUCCAUUUCAAGAGAAAUUCCCAUUUCUGUUUUUUUUUCAAUUAUGUCUUUUAACUUAUAUUUUCUGGAUCUUAUUCCAUUUGAGUGAAAUGUGAAUAGAUGAAGAGAUGUGGUAUCAGAGCUCAUUAAACAAAACUUUUCUGGUAACAUGUUUCAUCCUAUUUAGUUAUUUGAAUUCAGAUAAGCUUAAAGGAAAAGAACAAAACAAAGCUAUAAAGAAAAUUGGAAGUUAUUCAUUGUCAUUCAUCAUAAACAAGCUCAGAGGCUGGGAUAUUUGGCACGAUGACAAUGAAACUGCAGGAAAUUGAGCACACUCCAAUGUUGGUGAGGACGGUCCAUCCAUUCUGCAUAUGUCUGCGUCUUUGGGACUUAGAGUCUGGCAAGUAGAAGAGGGAUUUCAUCUUGUUGGAAAAUAUAAGUUGGAAAAUCAACCCACAUGAAAUUGCAGAAGCCAAGGGGUUUCACUGAUGGAAAAAUGGAGAAGGAAGAUCUGAUGAAACAGCAAGUCCUUAAGAGUGGGAGCCAGAAGUUUAAGUUGUAACAGGUUUUGGAUAAGAUUCAGAACUUAGAGGAUAACGAACUGCAGAAAAAUUCUUUGGAAGAUAAUGACUAGAGAAAAAUUCUGGGUCAAAGGCAGCUAUUGUGGUGCAUAGUUAUUCAGAUUUCAAAUUUGAAAAGAAAUCAUUGUUUCAUAGGCCGAAAGGUGAGCCACUGGUAUCUGUCAUCAGCAAACAGGAAACAUGAAGAAGAAGUACAUUUAUUCUAUAGGUUGCAACACACAGUACAAAUAUACCAUUAGAAUACCUAAAAUGCAAGAUGAAUCAGUCCCGUGAAUUGAAACUUUGAUUUUGUUCUUGAGCUAGUAAAGUUUACAGAGUUCUAUGAGGAAGGACAUCUGUAAAAUAUCUUACAAUACGUUGUCUUCUAUUUUGAGAGAAAGGGAAAGUAUCUUUGCACUGUGAAUAUACCCUUUGUAUUAUUAACUGUGAGGACAUGACAAGGCUAAACAAUUGCUUCUUUCUUGUCAAAGUUUCGUU
Homo sapiens (human) is the source of this 2387-nucleotide long non-coding RNA. Ensembl annotates it as cancer susceptibility 15. Its record names the gene CASC15. Lineage: Eukaryota; Metazoa; Chordata; Mammalia; Primates; Hominidae. The record is from Ensembl.